CAGUAGCCGCGGUAAUACGAAGGGUGCAAGCGUUAAUCGGAAUUACUGGGCGUAAAGCGCGCGUAGGUGGUUUGGUAAGAUGGAUGUGAAAUCCCCGGGCUCAACCUGGGAACUGCAUCCAUAACUGCCUGACUAGAGUACGGUAGAGGGUGGUGGAAUUUCCUGUGUAGCGGUGAAAUGCGUAGAUAUAGGAAGGAACACCAGUGGCGAAGGCGACCACCUGGACUGAUACUGACACUGAGGUGCGAAAGCGUGGGGAGCAAACAGGAUUAGAUACCCGCGUAGUCCUGUCUCUUAUACA
RNAcentral lists this ribosomal RNA (301 nucleotides) under uncultured bacterium. RNAcentral describes it as "partial 16S ribosomal RNA". It matches the Rfam family "Bacterial small subunit ribosomal RNA", at positions 509 to 809 of the family's 1533-position model. The record is from RNAcentral.